UGGUACCAGCCACUGCAAAAACAUACC
This 27-nucleotide non-coding RNA is filed under the name Homo sapiens (human). Lineage: Eukaryota; Metazoa; Chordata; Mammalia; Primates; Hominidae. The record is from RNAcentral.